RNAcentral lists this ribosomal RNA (498 nucleotides) under uncultured bacterium. RNAcentral describes it as "bacterial SSU rRNA". It matches the Rfam family "Bacterial small subunit ribosomal RNA", at positions 8 to 524 of the family's 1533-position model. The record is from RNAcentral.
AGAGUUUGAUCCUGGCUCAGGACGAACGCUGGCGGCGUGCAUAACACAUGCAAGUCGAACGGAACUAUUAGCAAUAAUAGUUUAGUGGCGGACGGGUGAGUAACGCGUGGGCAACCUGCCCCGGACUGGGGAAUAACGCAGAGAAAUCUGCGCUAAUACCGCAUAACACCAUAAUACCGCAUGGUAAGAUGGUCAAAGGAGAAAUCCGGUUUGGGAUGGGCCCGCGUCCGAUUAGCUAGUUGGUGAGAUAACAGCCCACCAAGGCAACGAUCGGUAGCCGGACUGAGAGGUUGGCCGGCCACAUUGGGACUGAGACACGGCCCAGACUCCUACGGGAGGCAGCAGUGGGGAGUAUUGCGCAAUGGAGGAAACUCUGACGCAGCGACGCCGCGUGAAGGAUGAAGGCCUUCGGGUUGUAAACUUCUGUCUUCAGGGACGAGAAAGGACGGUACCUGAGGAGGAAGCCACGGCUAACUACGUGCCAGCAGCCGCGGUAAU